UCGGGAUGCUUGUUUUGAUUCUGUUAGCCAUCAUCUGCAUCAAGAAGUCUUCUGGUCCUCUAAUCUUUUGGCCCUUGAAAUUCAUCUGGGUGCUGAUCUUUUACUUCGUUGUCAGUAUUCCUUGGAGUUGGUUAUGUGUGUACCAGGUUGCCUUCUUUGAGCAUCAAAACAUCAUCAGAAAAACCGUAAACCUCAAUGAAGAAUGUAAAGGAAUACAAGAAAUGGAUUGGACUGAUGGUUUGAAAGAGUGGUUCAGAACCAGCAGGCCUCUCCAUGACGACCCAUAAAGAUUACUAUGCGUUUUUUAGAACCAGUCCUCUCCUUCUUGUAUGUCCAACCAAGGUAGUAUCAUUUACCUUCAGGAUUUUAAUGAAAGACCCACUAAGACACUUUGGGGAGGGGAUAAGUGAGCUUCAUCGAGCAGUCCUAAAACAUCUGCCAGUUACCCUUCAGUUUCCAGUCUUCAUGAUCAUCAUGCUCAUCACUUUGUGGUUCAUGAAUGAAAGUGUAGAGCCUGGCUCGCAACACUACACCAAGACUGAAGAAUAAGCUGCAAGACCCUCCUUCAGGAGUGAAGGAUGGUGAUCGGAUGUCUGCAUCUGACCAGGAUUGUGACCAAGCUGCUGAUAGAAGUCUUGUCGAUAACGUGGGAAGUAGCAUCACUGCAGAGACAUUGGGCUUUGUCAAACCUCAACUUAGAAAAAAUGCAAACAAAGAAAAUGUUGAGGCGACUGAGAGUCCCUCUGUUAGUUCAAGGUUCACAAACCAGCAGAAGACACCUGAGAAGCCUGCUGCCAACACGGAUGAACCAGACAGCUUAUGCCCAGUCAACUUGAAUCCUUCACAGGCUCAUCUGGAGGACAAUGAAGACUUCAAGGAAGACGACACGUCCUCCAUGUCUCUAAGAAACCUUUUUAAGCUACCGACUUCUGUUCAAGAGACAAGUCCAAAGUUAGUGGAUUAGACUUCAAAGCAAAGUUUGAUCUCCAUUUAACAGCUUGACUCAUAUUUUGAUAGUAGAAUUGUCUUGCGAACAGCAAAACGUCUCCUCUCUGAUAAGCUGAAUUUAGGUGCAACAAGACACUUUGCUCUUUUAUCAGGAAUGUUUUAUUUUUCUCUAGAUACAAAGGGAAAUGUUCCCCUGUGAUUUGUACUAGUUGUAUUACUUUUGCAAGAAAAGACUUUUGAAGAAACACGUGAGCAAUAAACAAAAAAAUUCUAAAUAAGACAAAAUAAAUUGUUCUUUUAGUAUUUUUAUUUUUAAGAAAAAAUUAUGUAUUUUUUUGUUAUGAACACUUGGUAGGCAUUUAUUGUAAUUGCACAGCUCAUACAUUCAGAAACAUGUACAUGGUAGACAUUUAGCACUAUAAGGAGAGUUAGAAAGUUACAAAUGUUAUUUUAUAAAGAUUUAAAAAAUACUUUUUGCUGAGGAUGUUAAUCAGUGAUUCAGCUCCAUUUUACAUUUUAGUGUUGUUUGUUGUUCACUGGUUCUCUGUGACUUAAGAAGUGGACAUUUAUACAAUGAGAUGAAAAUAUUUUUCUGUGAAAAAUUACUUUGAAUGUGUAUUUUUGUCCGUAUUAAAACAACCAGAAUUACCUGCUUACCUGGAAAUUUGCCUGUUCAUCAUCAGGGCAAAUUUCAGAAAUUGGUGAGGCUUUUCAGCUAUGGUUGACAGACGUUUUAUUACAGUGUAUCCAGAGUCUUGGUUUUCUUCUGCUGAAAUAGACCUAAAAUGUGAAAUUCUGCAUUAUUGUUAUUUUAGCUCAUGUAAUACUAACGUGCAGUUUUGAGAGUUUUGUUAAAUAACUGGAGUUAUUGUGGUAGUAAAGCUUAAGUUGUGCUUCUACCUCAGCAAAGCGUUCCCAUGUAUAGAAAUUGUGUAAAAUAAAGCACUGAAUUUAAUAA
Molecule: long non-coding RNA, 1906 nt
Organism: Gambusia affinis (western mosquitofish)
Lineage: Eukaryota; Metazoa; Chordata; Actinopteri; Cyprinodontiformes; Poeciliidae
Exons: 6
Source: RefSeq, a predicted model, not a curated record